This is a non-coding RNA of Cinara cedri, 808 nucleotides long. The record is from the annotation of a GenBank genome assembly. Lineage: Eukaryota; Metazoa; Arthropoda; Insecta; Hemiptera; Aphididae.
AUCACGUUUAAUUUGUGUUUUUAAGUAUCCCGUAAUUUUAUUUUAUUUUUGUGAUAAGUCUACCCUACAUACGUGUUAAUAAUAAAACUGGGUUUUUGAUAAUUCUGCACGAUUCAUGACAAUAAAUUAUCUAUAUAUGGCUUAUAUGAUACAGUCGAUAUCCAAUCACCAUAAAACCCUAUCUUUAGUACAUGGAGCAAAAUAACUUAGAAAUAUUUCGUUCAAGUUCCAAACCCAAUACGUCAAAAUGUUUAGAAAAAUCACCCGAUUCAUUGUUUGCAUUAAAACAUGUAGGUUCUCGUUGAAAAAUCGAAAUCGAUAUUAUACCCCUUAUUAGUCCUUAAAUGUUGUGAAUUUAUCCUUCAAAUAUAUCGUCUUUCAUUGCCUUUAGAACUUUAAAAAUGUUUGCAUAAUUUAACCAUAGAAUGGGUUGAACAUGAUUAUAACAACCACCAUGUUUACAAAUGAGGGAUUCCGAUCCAUUUCUGCAGUGGCGACGGCGAUGACACAACAUCAUCAAAACGUUAACCGCACACGAGGUCAAGUCAAGGACUUUAUAAUAUAUUAUAAAAAUAUAUAUAUAUAUAUAAAAGUAAUUAAACGCGGACAAAAAAUAAGAGAAAAAAAACCGGAAAAAGUUUAAAAACCGUGACGGUGGUAGGAUAUAAUGAUCGGUUUUUUUUUUUUUUCGAAAAGCACAAAAUAUUACUAAUACGCGUUCCGGUUCGAAGUACCGGUUAUUACCGGCUAUUACCGCAGUUAUUAAAAAGAAAAAAAAACAACGAAUUUUCGUUUUUAUCGUCGUCGG